Long non-coding RNA from Daphnia pulex (common water flea), 1270 nucleotides. RefSeq lists it as uncharacterized. The transcript has 5 exons. The record is from RefSeq and is a predicted model, not a curated record. NCBI's taxonomy places the organism in Eukaryota, Metazoa, Arthropoda, Branchiopoda, Diplostraca, Daphniidae.
GUUUGUGUCAAUUAGACCCAUUUCUAAUUAUCCUACAUCAUUUCGCCAAAAAAAAAGAAAUUCAGAAAUUCAGAUGGAGAUGACGAAUUCCGUUCGCUGGAUCUGAGUCCCAACAAGCCGUUGAAUAUGAGAUCAUACGGACGCAAAGUAUACAAGAGAGCAGCAGUUCAUCCUCCACAUUCCAACAAAAUGCCAACUGAUGAAGAUUGGCCCUCAAUUUCGCCAGUUGCCAGAUCUUUCCAUCCAGCUAGUUUCCCCCUGCCCUUGCAUCAGGACUAUGUUGUUCCGGGGGCAACACCACCCGGUAAAUUUGCCAAUGCAGAGUUGAUGAAGAUCCCCAACUUCAAGUUAGGUUAUGGCUGUCAAGCAGCCUACCGUCAACUAUUUUGUUCAAAAUCAUUGUAUUGUACUGAAUGCACAAUCGAAAAGAUACAGGAGUCAUAAUUAUCUGCUGUUUGUAUUGGACUUGCUAGAUCACCAAUCCCGGCAUAGACCAAUCUCUCAUUUCAUCUUCUUGAGAGAAGAUAGGAUUAGUGAUUGGUUGGUUUCAUUUGUUAUGUCACUGAACUUUUUCCAUUGCAGUCUAAUAUGUAUUUAAAGUAUUGAUCUCCACUUAUGUCUAUCUAAUGUUCAAGAGAUGCUUUUUAGUGUAUACUGAUAAUUGUUUAUUCUUUUAGAUCAUAGAUGUCAAGCACUUUGAUGACACAAAUUAUAAACAAGGAUUCAUCAUUAUAUGUGCUUUGUAUUGGACUUGCUAGAUCACCAACCACAGCAUGAACCAAUCAAUCAUUCACUUCUUUAGAGAACCUUGGAUAGCUGAUCGGUGGUUUCAUGUGUUUAUCGUGUAUGUUCGCGUAGUUGCUGUCCGCUGUGGUACUUUGUUGCAGCCUAUGCUGGUGAUGGAUCUUUCUGCAUCAAAUUCAAUUGGCCGUGCUGUUGUCGUGUUACCGUUAAAUGUUAAGAAGGAAAAAAAAUAUGGGGAUAGUUAUGUCUAGCAAGUAAUAAACAUGUUUUCGGGAUUGGGAAAGGAAAGUGGAAGAUGUUGGAGAGGGGGAUAUUUCAAGUUUGGAUAAAAACAGUUAAUUUUAAGUUUUAACCCUACAAACAUAUCCCUACCAAUUAAUCCCCAAACCCAACAAACUUAUACCUUCCAAUUCUUCACACACAAACACACACCUACCAACCCUAAAUUUAUACCAUAUCCAAAUAAACCAAUGUUAAACCCUAGCAUUGUAAUGUCUGUAAUAAAUAAAACUUUUAAUACAUAAAA